Molecule: long non-coding RNA, 753 nt
Organism: Triticum aestivum (bread wheat)
Lineage: Eukaryota; Viridiplantae; Streptophyta; Magnoliopsida; Poales; Poaceae
Exons: 5
Source: RefSeq, a predicted model, not a curated record
AUAAACUUCACAUGCAAUUUCUAGCAUAUGGUGUUCACCCAAGUAAUAAUCUGCUAUUGUUAACCAGGUAUCAUCGAUGAAAAACAUGGGUCGUUUUCGCGUACUCUUCUUCAGGAUAAGCCUGAGAUCACGGAAGAAAUGAUUCGUGGGUAUAUGAGCAAUUCUGAACUUGAGACUGCUAUACAAGACUUUGGGUGGCGCUGUGCUAAUGUCUCUAGGAUAUACAGGACCCGAGCAUCAAGGAGAUGGCGGAGCAGAUCGCCAAGGACCCGUCCUUCAGCGAGAUGCCCCGUAAAUCUACUGUAUGAUCAAUCAAAACACGUUUUGUCCAAAGUCCAAACUUAAUGGUGUGAUAUUGUGGCAUAUUUACCCUGGAGCUAGCAUAUAUAUGGAGCUGACUUUGUUCCUGGAGGAGCAGACACAGAGGAGGAAUCUGCUACCUCAAAGCAGUUGAUCGACGCCGGGAGGGUGGGUACGUGAUGUCGGAGGCUGCCGGGAGGGUGGUGACGAGCUACCGAAGAGAUGAGUUCUGGCUCUCCUCGAUGCCAGGACGAGGCGCUGUUGCCGAUCGGACGUGGACUCGAUUGAUUUUGAUUUGAAAUAUGACGGGUUGUAAUGUAAAAUGCACUUCAGUUCAAAAUUUCCUCCCCUUGCGAGAGGUAUUCUUGGACGGAGGGAGUAGAAGAUUAGUUAUAGGAUUUUGUUUUAUUUCUGUGCAAUUUUCUUUUUAUUGGAUACUUAUAAAGACAUGGU